RNAcentral lists this ribosomal RNA (1561 nucleotides) under marine metagenome. Its description in RNAcentral is "bacterial LSU rRNA". It matches the Rfam family "Bacterial large subunit ribosomal RNA", at positions 296 to 1978 of the family's 2925-position model. The record is from RNAcentral.
GUAGGCCAGUAGUUUUGUUAAAAAAAUUUGAAUAGUUUGGAAAUGCUAACCAUAGAGGGUGAUAGUCCCGUAUGAGUAAUGUUUAACAAAAUUCUUGAGUAAAGCGGGACACGAGAAAUCCUGCUCGAAUAUAGGGGGACCACCCUCUAAGCCUAAAUACUCUUCAGUGACCGAUAGUGAACUAGUACCGUGAGGGAAAGGUGAAAAGAACCCCUAUUAGGGGAGUGAAAUAGAACCUGAAACUGCAUGCCUACAAUCAGUCCGAGCCUUUUUUAGGGUGAGGGCGUACCUUUUGUAUAAUGGGUCAGUGACUUAAUUUAUUAAGCAAGCUUAAGCCAUCUAGGUGUAGGCGCAGCGAAAGCAAGUCUUAAUAGGGCGAUUAGUUUAAUGAAUUAGACCCGAAAACGAAUGAGCUUACCAUGAGCAGGUUGAAAGUUGGGUAACACCAACCGGAGGACCGAACCAGUUGACGUUGAAAAGUCUUUGGAUGACUUGUGGUAAGGGGUGAAAGGCCAACCAAAUUCGUAGAUAGCUGGUUUUCCGCGAAAACUAUUUAGGUAGUGCGUCGAAUAAAUAGAUGUUUAGAGGUAGAGCACUAAAUGGGCUAGGGGGAAGAGAUUCUUACCAAACCUAAUAAAACUCCGAAUGCUAAACAUUGUUCUUCGGCAGACAGACUGUGGGUGCUAAGGUCCAUGGUCGAGAGGGAAAGAGCCCAGACCACCAGAUAAGGUCCCAAAAUCAUGAUUAAGUGUGAGAGGAUGUGGAAAUUCCAUAACAGCCGGGAGGUUGGCUUAGAAGCAGCCAUCCUUUAAAGAUAGCGUAACAGCUCACCGGUCUAAUAGAGUUUCUGCGCCGAAGAUGUAACGGGGCUAAAAUCAUGUACCGAAUCUGUGGCUUUACAAAGUUUUCGAACUUUGUAAGGGGUAGCGGAACGUUCUGUAAGCCUGCGAAGGGAUACCCGUGAGGGAUCCUGGAGGUAUCAGAAGUGCGAAUGCUGACAUAAGUAACGAUAAACGAAGUGAAAAACUUCGUCGCCGAAAAUCUAAGGGUUUCUAUGCAAGGUUAAUCCGCGUAGAGUUAGUCGGCACCUAAGGCGAGGGCGAAAGCCGUAGUCGAUGGAAACAAGGUUAAUAUUCCUUGACCUGAUGGUAGUGACGGAUUUUGUAAGUUGUGAGUUCUUAAUGGAUUGAACUUGCCGCGAAAAGGUCCCAAGAAAUAGCUCCAUCAUGAAGACCGUACCCGAAACCGACACAGGUAGAUUAAUAGAGUAUAUUUAGGCGCUUGAGAGAAUGAUGUUGAAGGAACUCGGCAAAAUGCUUCCGUAACUUCGGGAUAAGGAAGACCCUUUUGUAGGCAACUAUAGAAGGGUGGCACAAGCCAGGGAGAAGCGACUGUUUAUCAAAAACACAGGGCUCUGCUAACACGUAAGUGGAUGUAUAGGGUCUGACGCCUGCCCGGUGCUGGAAGGUUAAUGCGGUUGGUGCAAGCUAACUUCUGAAGCCCCAGUAAACGGCGGCCGUAACUAUAACGGUCCUAAGGUAGCGAAAUUCCUUGUCGGGUA